This 234-nucleotide long non-coding RNA is filed under the name Ananas comosus (pineapple). Its description in RNAcentral is "long non-coding RNA (ACOM_LNC012079)". The record is from RNAcentral. Lineage: Eukaryota; Viridiplantae; Streptophyta; Magnoliopsida; Poales; Bromeliaceae.
ACCGUCAAUCUCGAUGGCACCCAACAGUCCGAAACAGCCUGAACGCUACUGUAAAAAUACACUGGCAUCCCAGCACGAGCGUAACUGAAAACUAAACUAUCUGGAAUACUCACUAUGAGGAUUUACUGCAACAGUAAAAAUUUAUACAACGGCCCCUAGAGCUAAAUCAGGUAGUUUAAGCAUAUGACGAUCAUAAUCGCGAGUUUUCUCCUAAGUCUCAUCCAAGUCCAACAU